Molecule: ribosomal RNA, 467 nt
Filed under: uncultured bacterium
Lineage: Bacteria
Description: partial 16S ribosomal RNA
Rfam family: Bacterial small subunit ribosomal RNA
Source: RNAcentral
GACGAACGCUGGCGGCGUGCUUAACACAUGCAAGUCGAACGAUGACGACCGAGCUUGCUCGGUCUGAUUAGUGGCGAACGGGUGAGUAACACGUGAGCAACCUGCCCUUCACUCUGGGAUAACCUCGGGAAAUCGGGGCUAAUACCGGAUAUGUGCUCCUGUCGCAUGGCGGGUGUUGGAAAGUUUUUCGGUGAAGGAUGGGCUCGCGGCCUAUCAGUUUGUUGGUGAGGUAGUGGCUCACCAAGGCGAUGACGGGUAGCCGGCCUGAGAGGGCGACCGGCCACACUGGGACUGAGACACGGCCCAGACUCCUACGGGAGGCAGCAGUGGGGAAUAUUGCACAAUGGGCGAAAGCCUGAUGCAGCGACGCCGCGUGAGGGAUGACGGCCUUCGGGUUGUAAACCUCUUUCAGCAGGGAAGAAGCGAAAGUGGCGGUACCUGCAGAAGAAGCGCCGGCUAACUACGUG